Non-coding RNA from Streptomyces sp. NRRL F-6602, 75 nucleotides. Lineage: Bacteria; Bacillati; Actinomycetota; Actinomycetes; Kitasatosporales; Streptomycetaceae. The record is from Rfam.
CUUGACGGAACCGAGCAGCAACGGCCGCUCCUCGUCCCGGCCCUGCCCGUACGUCGCCAGAAGCGCCUGCGCCUC